UCUGAGGAAGAAGACAUGGGAUUAGAACCUACAGGGAAAAGGCCAAAGAGGAGGUUGAUUUACACUAGGACAGAAUCGGGGAGGGCCAAGAGAGAAUAGUAGACUUAAGGCGGUUGGGAGGAAGAAGCUUUGUGACAUCUUUUUUAAAAAAGUUGUCAUAUUUCUGCCGUUAACCGUGCACAUACUAAUGUUCACUUGGUGUGGGAAUCCAAUGAAAGAAAAAAAAAAGACACAUUCAUAGAUCAACAGAUUUUUAGCUUAUGUAAUUAAUACAAAACUUUGUAUCUCAUUAACAGGGAAGUUGUAUGUGUUCAUUUAUUCAGUCAAGUCUCCUAUUCGGGCAUACCUACUUACUAUGUACCAGGUACUGUGCUAGGAAAUGGACUUGUGUGAGGACAUUCAGUUUCUACUGGGUGGGAGUGGGGGAUGAGAAAAUAGGGGACUUUUGGUGGUAUGGCUGGAGGUAGAAGUGGGACGGUGUGGUCAAGCACUACCUAUAUAUAGCCCUUGAGGGGCAGUUGGGCAGAGUUCAGUUGUAAAUGACAAAUCCUGUGGACUGUGGGAGGUGGGGGCAGGGCCGAGUGUUCCAACCAAUGCGAAGGGCCAACAUACCCACCCGUCUGGGGAAGAACAAGGAAAGAAAAAUCAAGAAGGAGACAGGUGACCUGAGAGGUCAACGGACUGAGCGCCCAGUCCUAUGAUUAUAAGUCCCUGAGCAGUAUUAGGCAGGGGAAUAAUAGGCUUGGGCUUUAUCUGUUAUGGUUUGAGAUGGAGUCUCACUAAGUCAUUGCUCAGGCUAAUCUCAAACUUCUGGGCUCUAGUGAUUCACCUCACUCCCAAAGGAAGUAGGGCUAAGGGCAUAUCGUGCCACACUCAGCAUGGUUUUUGCUUUAAACACCAUGGAAUGAGCUGAAAGGGGGCCAGAGGCAAGAGUGGAGGCCAGAAGAUAGAGUAGAAAGCUGCUACAGAGAGCAGAAUACUGGGGUAGGGUUGUAACAGUAGGGAAUGGGGAGAAGGGGAUCCACUGAUGUCAUCUGGGAUGAGAUUUGCCAAUAGGUUAAAUUUCGGUGUUCAAAGAAAUAGGGAGGCGGGGAGGAGAUAAGGGAUUUUUGGAGGGGAAGCUAAGAAAGGGGAUAACAUUUGAAAUGUAAAUAAAACAUCUAAUUAAAAAACAAAAAAAGAAAUAGGUAAUUUAGAUGGUAAUGUCAAAUGAAUAGGAAAGGUACAUGGGGUGGAGGUUGAGUUUUCAGUUUUGGUAGGCUUGAGGAGUUAUAUAUACAAAUCUGGCCACUUUGAGCUAAGAGUUUUGUUUUGUUUUCGAGACAGGGUUUCUCUGUGUAGCCCUGGCUGUCCUGGAACUCUCUCUGUAGACCAGGCUGGCCUCGAACUCAGAAAUCCGCCUGCCUCUGCCUCCCGAGUGCUGGGAUUAAAAGUGUGCGCCACUACGACCAGCUUUGUUUUUGUUUUAAGAUACAAAGGUCAGUGACAGUCAGCUUUGCACAGCUUGUUAAUGGUGGGAACCAAGACUUGAAGCUAAGUCUCCUGUUUCCCUGCCCAUAUAUCUUUCCACUUGGUCUCAAACAGGUUUUAAUUGAAGUUCUUACUAAGUAUGGAUCCUGAAGAUAAAAUAACGUUAAGUAUUCAUACCUGUUAAAGAACUAAUUUACACGAUGCCAUAUCCCAUUAAAUCCUUGCCCACAACAGCAUCAGGGGUUAGCUAUUAUUCCUGAUGCCAAUUUGCAGGGAGAAGCAGGGAUUUAGUAACACACAUAGAGAGCUGGGCCUCAGUGAGUACAAGGCCUUUCUCUGCAUGUGUUCUGCUGCCUUUAAGUGCAAUGACACUUCAGCACUCAGAGAAAUCAUUUGCAUAAUGGCAGGAUAAAGGCAGUGUAUGAGGCAGGAUUUGAAAGGCAGGUAGACUUUUAGUGGAUGACACUUUAUAGAGAAGUAGCUGGUGGCUGCAGCACGGUGAGCUUGACUAAUAGAUGAAGGACCUGGAGAAGAAUAAUGAGGAAAAGAUGGAGUCUGAGGAUGGACCUGCGAAUAUCUGGCAGAAGUAUCCAUAUUUAACAUGGGAGGCAGUAGGGGCUGCUCAGAGUCUGACAAAAAAAAAAAAAAAAAAAACGACACAUUGAGAGCCAUGCGUUAGGAUCUGCACAUCUUUCAAAGCAGGGGGAACCCACCAAUGUUUUUAAGUAUCUUUCACUCCCACUCACUUUCAGCACUUCAAAGUCACGCUUUCUACUUCCUGCAGUUUAAUAAAUACUGAUCUGUAAGUUAUAUGUUACAAAAUAGUAUUGAUAUUAUUAGUGAGGGAGUCGUCAAAAAAAUCUCAAGAGGUUCAAUUGCAAGUAUAUGUUAGAACAAAGGCCUAAACCCAUUCAAAUCAAGAUCUCAAUUUAAGAACAUGCUGCUCUUAAUAAAUUUCACAUGGACUGUGGGAGAAAUUGAUGGUUAACUCUGAGACAGAUGCUCUGAAAUCAAAGCUGGGGAUAGCAAGAGGUGUAUUUGGGAGACACUUUUCUACCCAGGAUGAAAAGGGAGAAGUCACAAAAGACUAGACCAAGAUUUAGGUCAGGUGUGGAUAUCUGCAAGAAUAGUACAUUAAAACAGCAGAGGGAGGGAGGAGAGAGAAAGAGAUCCAUAAAAAAGGAAGUGAAGACCUAGACUUUAAGAUAUCUGUAGAAGAUUACUAAUUAUUGUUGCUAAUAAGCUGGUCAUAAUUUACACAUAUCUAAUGUCCAGGUAUUGAUGUUAUUAAAGUACAGUGACUGUGAUAAUCCCACAAAAUAAAACACCUAUGCCAUUUGUUUUUAUGCCUGAAUAUACCAGUUAGAAGUUUCAACUUGUUUUCAUUCCAUGCCUUUACCCUACAGUACUCUACCAAACUUUCAUGAUAAUCUUUUUUGAAAAAUUGAAUCUUUGCUUUCUUAUUCUGAAUUUUUGGAUUUUGUCUUUUCUUUUCAAAAGGGCUAAGGUCAUUCCAAUGGCCCAUGGUUUCUCUGAUGAGUUUCUGCCUUACUGCUGACCUCUAUAGCCCUCCCCAUCCCAGACCUUCCAACCCCUAACCCAGAGUUCUCCUUGCCCUGCAGUGCAUCUAGAUACUGCCCAGAACUCUCUUGGAUGAGUUCCUUAGUAAACAUCCACACUGCUCUGUUCCUUUCACAAUUACACAAGUUCCACUGGCUGAGACGUUCUCUCUGACAUUCAAAAAACCAGAAAGCACUCGGACUUUGAAGCACACAGCCUGCAUUUCUAGGCCUCUUAUCCUGUUUUUAUUUCCUCUGGGAGUAUCACAUGAUAUCUCUAUCCUUCCAUCUCACUCUCAACUCUAUUCCUAUGUCUAUGGUUUUUUUUGCCUCUUCCUCAUCUGAAAAUGUAAAUUCCUUAUGAACAAAACCAGAUUUGUUCUGGGCUAUAUGCCCAGUAUCAAGAGCAUGGCCUGCCACACACUAUUCAGUGUGUUGCACCAUUGUGUGAAUGAAUGACAAGGAAUAAAUGAAUGAACUAAUAUGAAUCUGUCCAAGAGGGAAGCAAAGACUGUUAUUUGGAAAUCUAGCCUAACAGGCUUUUCUAGAUUGAUCGUAGGUACCUCUUAUUUUAGAGGUCUUUUUCUAAUACCAAGAAUAUCAUUCUUAGUUAUACUGCCUUCCAGCCACACAGGUAAGUUAUUUGAAUGAACCAUUAUUUAACCUAAUAAACCGGAGCCUUGUGAUUCCAUCUCUUUUCAGCCUCCUGCUGACACACACUUGACAGAAUUAAAAUGCUCAGUACUGAAGAUUCUAAGCAGAGGUUAGUAUAUUGAGUUACUGCUUCCUCUCAAAGCAAUCAAGAACAAAUUAGAGAAAAUCAAAGCCAUAAAAUGCAAUUCAAACUGUUGCAAAUGAAUUGUGCCAGAGCAGGAUCUAAGGGACCAAGCCCCUUCUGGUCUCACUCUGUGAACUAAGUAUCACAUGUACAGUUAGGAUUCAUGCUCACUUCUACACCGCAAACUACAUGUCUCAGCAGUAAACUUAAUUGUGAUCAAUAUUAGAUUUGUUAAAACUAAUAUAUUUUUUUAAAAAGUAAUGGAUGUCAUUUCUGUGGCAUUUUUUCCACUGUUAAGCCUUACGGCAUACAGCAAGGCAAAUUUCUACCUCUCAACCUAUAUCAAAUAAAUGGGGAAUGUUAACACAUGUAGCAAAUAACUCAACAUCUCACAUUAACUGGCAUCACUAAUCUAAAGCAAAAGAAAAUCGUAAUCUGAAAAUACAAGAGCUUAGUGUUAACUGGUAAAACUGUUUACCAGUUUAGGAAAAAAACUGUCAGUAUAAAAAUAUAUGUAUUUCCAAAAGAGGAGGAGGAGGACCAGGAGGCGGAAGAGGAGAGAAGCAGCCAUUCCGGCCUUGAUAUAUGGAAAACCCAAGAGAAACUAGUGCUGAGUUCUACUAAGAAACAUUCCUGAUUCACUGUUUUUAAUAAUCCGAAGUACAAAACGCAUCAGGAUACCCACAAAUGAAUGGACACAGGGCUUACACAAUGGCCUUCUUUACUCAAAAGGUGUCUUGAGUCACAGCAUGAUCCUGGGGGGAAGAAUUCAAGCCCAGGGCACGCUCUAUUGUCACAUUUGUUUUGUUUUGAAAUAGGGUUUUUCUAUGUCGUCUUGACUGACUUGGAACUCACUAUAUAGACCAUACAGAGAUCUGCCUGACUGCCCCUGCCUCCCAAAUGGCAGGAUUAAAGGCCUGUGUCAUCAAGCCCAGUAUGGUAAUGUUUUUUAUGGUGUUCAGAAUAUCCCAAACCAGUGAAAAUAGUGGCUGUACUUAGUUCUGACUGGGAGGAACACAGAAGAUCCCCCACACUCUCUGAUCUGUGUAUUCAAAACGAGGUGUGCACGUGUGUAGUAAACAUGUAUCAAAUACUGGAAAUUUAUGUUUCACUUUGUAAACAGAGGUAGAAAGAACAGGACAGGAAUCUGAACACACUUCUCGGGAACCAAGAUACUUGGUGCGAACAUUAACCUCAGUUCUAACUCCAAACUUUCAGAACUCGGUUUCCAUUCCUGUGAACCAGUAUGGGGGAAAGAUCAGCUUUCUGUCCCUGAUAGUAGGCAGGAAGCAAACAGAAACACAUCCCUGAAACUACAUUUACCCGAGACCCCAAGCACCCAGGCUCCAGUGGCCUCACAAAGCCCUGAAGAUUUGCUGGGACCAUUUAUAGAACACCAAAAGAGCUAUGAGCUGGCCUUGACCCUUCUCUCUCAGUGCUUCAUAGGUGGCUACCUCUGAGAAAGCAGAAAGGAAGACGGCUCACUACUGUCUUUUACUGUCUCCACUGCAAGCUUCCUGUAUUGUGUUUGAGCCAGGUUAGCUAUGUUGCCUUGGUGGUACCCCACAGUACAAUUCAAAAUGGAACAAUUAAACUAGCAUUGAAAGAACUCCGUGGAGACUGUCUAAGCAUGGGUGAGAAUGGAUAUAGGUGUAUAUAGUGUCAUAAGCCUAACUAACAAAAACUUAUACAUGAUGAAAGGAAAUUAUUUGACUCGUAAAUUUACCAGCCACUCCACUCCACAUUAUUGAGGAGUCUAUGGGGGUGUACUUUCAAAAGACUAACUUAACUCUAACCUACUUUUAAAUUCCUACUCUUUGUUGUUGUUGUUUUGAAUCUUUAAGAUAGAAUAGGAAAUGGGGUUGAAGCAGCUUGUUCUGUUGUUUCAACACUGUAAGCCCCGUCUUUUGGUGCCUUCUUUUUGGCUUUGAACUCCUCCUAGGUCAUAAUCCAAGAUUAUAAUCAAUAUUUUUAUGGGUAUAUGCUUCUUUCUUCCUAUAUACUAUCCCUUGCAAGAUUCAAUACAUCUGCAAGAAGAGGAAAAACACACAAUCGCUUUCAAACAAUGUAUAAAGUAGGGAGAACAGAUAGAUUUUACAUAAUAUAUAAUAUAAAGUUAAUGAAGCAAAAUGUUCAGAAGUCUGAGAUCUGUUUGCAUGCAUAUGCUUGGGUUUUCCAGAUCAUGGGCAUUCUUGUGAGAGGUAGGGAAACCUGUGAAAGUGGGGCCUGAGGAGGGAGGUUGGGACUGUGAAACACCAAUCUCUUGUUCCAUGAACAGGAUUCUGCAACCAUGUGCUCCCACUGAGGAACACUGCUUCCAAAUACAAGGCCAAGUGAUUAUGGGCUGACUGGAGCCUUCAAAACUAUAAACCCAAAUAAGCUCUUCCUUUUUUGAAGUCGGCUGCCUCAGGACUUUUGUUAUAGCAAUGGGAAGCUGAUUAACACAUGGGUGUUUAGAAAUUUUCUAUACAAUCUCCAUAAAUUAGCACUCAGUGGGACUAUAAUCAAAGAAAGGGCCAAACCUGAAAUCAGAUUGUUACACUUCCAGCACUAUGACCUUGUCUACCUGGUAAAUUCUUUAGGAUAUACUUUUCUCAUUUGUGAAAUGGGGACACAAACCCUUUGUUGUAGGUUCAAAUAACAGGGUGUCAAUUAUAGGCUUGCAGACAGUAAAGGCCCUAUACAAACAGGUUUCUCUUUGUUAACAUACUGUGCCUUGAUGACAGAGUGAUCCUGCCCCAUUCUUUCACUACCCACAGGACUUCUUCUGUUUUCUCCUCUCAGUCUGAUGUAUGGAAGAAGUCUCUCUUCAUCUUCUUACCCAAGACUGCAGCAAUUUUAAAGCCAGGCCUUUUCUGUGACUUAGGUCAGACCUCAUCGAGGUGCAGGAACUCCCUGCCUGUCUGCACACAUCCUCACUGAAGAAAGAGUUCACCUGCCAUGAUGGUGGAAUCUUUGUCAACAUCACUGCAGUCCCUGGACACUAGAUCUGAACAGCGGAGCCAUCCUUAAAGAAAGUUGUGGGCAGGAUGGAGUCACAGAAGCUGUACUGAGAAGCUGACAUUCUAGUGGUUGUAAGUGCUGUGUACCCAGAUUGAUUGACACAAUACUCUUCACUUGGUCCUGAUUCUGGGAAUCAAGCCCUGACAGAACUUCCAAAUCUCCAAAUCUCCUUAUGUCUUAACGAAGAAAACGAAGCAAUGCAGCCCCUCGCGCACCCUGCCUGAGCUCUGAAACAUCCUUUUCAUGAUUUUGCCGAAGCCUUAGCUGGUAACAUUGCUACCCCCAAAUAAUGUUAAUGUACAAUAUACAAGUAGUUUGAAGUUUCAUGGUAUUCGUGGUUUUUUAAAGUCUAAAGAACCGUGAAAUGUUAAUUCUUUAAUUCCACAUAUUAAAAUAUCAUUUCAGGUAGUUAAAAAAAAAGAACAGGGAACUACAUAUUUUCUAUUACACUUUAAAAAUUUGCAGUGUAAGUUAUACUUACUGUGUAUCUCAUCUCAGGUAUGACGUUUUCUGCGGAAAUACUUGGCUAUAUUUAUCCAUUUGACAGCAUGCCCUUUCAAUGGUCCGCUCAGAACAUCUCCAUCUUAUUAUUUCUUGUCUUUUUCUUCUGUUUUGUGUAUGGCCCUAUUUUGGUUAAUGUUCCUUUCAGCAGUGUCUGUUUGAUUGAUGGGUGUGUAUGUGUGGGUGUGUUUAACUAUAUGUCCCAUGUAUACACUUUAAAUGGUUCAUCUCUAGAUUACAAUAUAGGUGUCACACUUGAUGUGUAUUGCUAUUAUUUCAGUUGGAAUAGAAAGACCUUAACAUAUAUGCACCUUUGUCCACCUUCUUCAUGUAGUUUUUGCAUAUCAUAUACACUGAAAGCCUCACCAGGUAAUACUAGGACUUUUUUUCUCUAAACUUUACAUAUAUGCGAACGUCAUACCGGAGAUGAGAUACACAGUAUCAAAUGAGAUUAGAAGCACUCUUCAGAUAGUCAGCUUUUCUAUUCUUUUUUUCUUUCUUUCUUUCUUUCUUUCUUUCUUUCUUUCUUUCUUUCUUUCUUUCUUUCUUUCAAGAUUUAUUUAUUUUAUGUGAAUAUACUGUCUCUCUCUUCAGACACACUAAAAGAAGGCAUCAGAUCCUAUUACAGAUGGUUGUGAGUCACCAUGUAGUUGCUGGGACUUGAACUCAGGACCUCUGGAAGAGCAGUCAAUGCUCUUAACCACUGAGCCAUUUCUCUAGCCUGUAUAGUCAGCAUUUCUAUUAGCCUGCCCUUACUUGGGUCCAAGUUCCUCCUGGCACGAUUUCCACCCUGUCUGGAAAAACAGCUUUCAGCGAUUUUCUUAAGUCAGCUCUACUGGGUUCUCUUAGUUUUCACUCAUCUGAGAAAACCUGGAAGUUCCUGAAGAAUACUUUUGGAUAAAGGCCUCUGUGUUGACAAUCAACUAAUGUUCUCAUCACAUCAGUGUCACUUGCCGAUGGCUUCCAUGACUUAGACCCCUCAGGGAGCCAGAUCUUUGCUCCUCUGUGGGCAAGCCAUUGUUUUCCUCUGGUUUUAAGGUUUUCCUUUGUCCCUGGGUUUCAGCAGUUUGAUAAUGAUGAGCACAAUGUCUGUGGCUUUGCACAUCCUGGAUCACCUGGCACCUCUCUGGGUACCCCUGACUUAUAACUCUGGUGCUAUGCUUGGCUCCCUUCCUUCUGGAACGCAGAUGCCACAAUUCCAGUGUUCCCGAGGCUUAGCUUGCCACCCCACAUCUCCUUUUCUCUCUGCUGUUAGAUCGUUCCACUGACAUCUUCCUCUGUUGUUUCCCUUUUGAUCCUGAGUCUGAUGCUUUGCGUUUUCAGCACUUGUCUUUCAUUUUAAACUUCGCUCUUCUACAUGUAUCUCCCAGUCAUGUGCUGAGCACCCUCCCCAACGUUUAUCUGCCUCAGUGUGUUGUUAAACAUCUUUACAGUGGCUGCUUUGAUGUCUAUCUGAGAACCCAGCAUCUGUGCAAAUCUUGGUACUGGUUUCUCUUGACUGCCUUUCUCCAUCUGAACUAAUGAUGUCCCUCCCCAGUUCUCCACAGGCUAAGCAUUUGUGCACUGUGUGCCAGAUACUUGGCAUGAUUCUUUAUGAGGCCGUGGGUCUUUCGGAAUCCUUGCUGAGAAUGGUGCAUUUUGUUUCAGCAGGUGAUUGUCCUGGUGGGGUUCAGGCAGCCUGACGCUUUCUGUGGGUUGUGGUUUCAUUCAGCCGAGAAUCUUCAAAACAUUAACGCAGACUCUCUCUCCUGGGCACAACUCAGUGAGGAAGCAGGUUUACUCCCUCCUUUGGUAGCCUGGUGGAAUAUCAAAAUCUGGGCUCUUUUCUGUACCUUACGGCCGGCCACUCUUUGCUUUCAUAGUCUGGGCAGAGCUGUUCCAUGCAUUCCAGUCAGGUUCCAUAACUGCAGUUAUGUCAGUAGGAGGGGUCAGAAUGAAGUCUGUUUACCUCAUCUUAUCGAGAACUAGAAUUUCUUGACUAUAUUUGGAUUUCAUAACAUUUGCAAAUGAAAUGGUGGCCUCAUCUGUCCAUUUGCUUCUAACAUAGUUGAGUGUUUUUCCAGGAACUAAACUAUAUAUAUAUAUAUACAUAUAUAUAGUCAGUUUUAUAGCCACUCUGUAGGGCUUAGUGUUCACAUGUGUCCACAGAUUACAUUACUGACACAAUAAUUUUAGAGAGCAGCUUGAAGAAUAUUCAAGAGAAGGCAGGAAUAGAAGCAAGCAACCGCCUUCUCUUAAGAAGGGGCAGGCGCUCGUGUGCUCCUGCCAACUGGAAGUCCCUGGGUCUCUUUAGUCAGGACAAACCAGAAUUGAGUUUAAUGAAGUUAUGUCACCCAGCUUCUUGUCUUUGGAACUCACCAUCUUUGCAGUAGGGGCCAGGCUCUUUCUCUUAAGUUUUCUUCGACACUACAAAUCUCAAUAGGGAGUCCAAACACUACAGCUAAUAGCCACAUGUGGCUGCCACAGGGGGAUGAUCAGAACAAAGACAUUAAAAGUUCCCUUUCUCUGGGGUUCCCUUGGGUGUUGGUUGGCUUUCAGUUUGCAGAUGACUUUGUGUAACCCAGACUGAAUACCCAGAAGGCACAGCAGCCACGAUAUACGUCUUCAAAGGACUGCUGCCUCCUACAAAUAUGUCAGGCUGACAAAGUAAGAACACAAGGUUUGGAAAACUCUUCACAUUGUUUCUGAUUCCAGUGUGUGUGUGUGUGUGUGUGUGUGUGUGUGUGUGUAUGCUUCGAUAAGCAAAUGUAUCAGCUAUGAGUUUUCAGAACUUACAGUAGUAUACAAUGGAGGAAGGCAGGUUGACCUGUAUCUAAAAGUAUUUAUGUAUAAUAUCACAGGGCCAACCCUGGAAUUUAGUCUAAGGAGUAAGGCAAAGUGUCCUAGCUCCUCUCCACAGCUGUCUUUGUACACAGCAGGAGGAAGCCUACACUCUUAAUACCAUGGGGGUCAGUGCCAGGUGACUGAUCAAAGAGAGCAAAGUGAAGUCUACAGGCAGCUCAGGGGACACAGACAGCUUUUAGAGGCCACCCAGGAGCUCAGAGAAGAGGGGGACUUGUUCAUGUGACCCUAAGCUUUGCAGGGCUCACACAGGAUCACCUCUGCUUUGCUUUUUAGACUUGUGAAGGAGGCAUGGGUCAGUGA
Molecule: long non-coding RNA, 10455 nt
Organism: Mus musculus (house mouse)
Lineage: Eukaryota; Metazoa; Chordata; Mammalia; Rodentia; Muridae
Product: predicted gene, 52399
Exons: 3
Source: RefSeq, a predicted model, not a curated record